Molecule: long non-coding RNA, 1128 nt
Filed under: Bos mutus (wild yak)
Lineage: Eukaryota; Metazoa; Chordata; Mammalia; Artiodactyla; Bovidae
Description: lncRNA (ENSBMUG00000014283.1)
Rfam family: Small nucleolar RNA SNORD87 (bases 598-684)
Source: RNAcentral
GAGCGCCAAGCCGGGCCGUGGCGCUUUCUUUUCCGCUUGGCCAGGGGAGAAGGAAGGGCAUUGAGGCUCCGUCUGCCUUACGGGAGUGGCGGCAACGCCCGCGGACACGUCUCCCGGCUCUUCGAGGGGGGAAGUCCCCGCGGAGUUAGAUCAUUUUCUAUUUCUCCCGGGAACCCGACUCCGUGCCAGAGUCUAUAAGUCGGCCUCGGGCCACUCCGCCUUGUGCGUUCCGCCCCGGGGCCCCCCAUCCCGAUGGCCUCCGUCCAUUGCCCGGCACAGCCCAGCGGUCGGCGCGGCCUAGGCCUCCAAGUCAUCCCAGGAGGCCACCUUCCCCUCCCCCACCCGGUUGACGCCGCCUCGAGCUCUCCUCCGUGCUUCUGCUCAAUCGCAUUUUGUGUAGCAGUGCCUAUGAGUUGAAGAUGAAGAUCAUUGUGAUAAAUGUUUUCCAAAAACCUGUCACAGAAGAUGGCUGUGAAAACACAAGGAGGACCGCUGCACAUGUAACAAGGUACCAAAAGUUAUAAUGUUAAGUUGUGUGCUUUUUUUUUUAUGUGUGUGUGGUAUUGUUCCUGAGGCACAAUACCAAAAUGUUUAAUAACUGGCACAGUGAUGACAAGUUACUUUUUGCCGUUUACCCAGCUGAGGGUAUCUUUGAAGAAAUAACUUUAAGACUGAGAUGCCAGUAAUAUAUAUUAUGUGAAUUACUCAAAUCUAAUGCAGUUUUUUAUUAAAAUGGGUGAACUCUUCUUUUCAGCAGAUAAGUACCUGCAAAUGAAUGUUCAAGUGCUUAGCAGUGGUGCUUAAAAACUCUUCAUUACCUCAAGUAAGUGGUUACGAUUUGUCCCGCAGCCACAUGUUGACAGUUUGAAAGUAUCUGAUAAACUCCAGAAAGCUGAGGACAUUUCCUUUCCUGUUGAAGGUGCCUUUGUGUGUCAGGUGUAUGACUUUCAAGUUUUGAGUAUGGAAUGAUUUUCACUGUUGGUUUCUGAUUUUUCCCCAGAGGUGUGGCAAACGACGUUUUCGAAGGAAAAAUGAAGAGUUGUUCAAGAAGACGUGCAUUAAAGCAAGUGACAAAAAUUAAAAUUGUAUUUAAUGUUCAUCUCACAAUAAAUUAUGGAGAAAAGUACA